UGAGGAAUUUUCGUCAAUGGGGGAAACCCUGAACGAGCAACGCCGCGUGGAGGACGAAGACCUUCGGGUUGUAAACUCCUGUCGGACGGGACGAAAGCUAUCGAGGUCAAUACCCUUGGUAGUUGACGGUACCGUACGAGGAAGCCCCGGCUAACUUCGUGCCAGCAGCCGCGGUAAUACGAGGGGGGCAAGCGUUGUUCGGAAUUACUGGGCGUAAAGGGCGCGUAGGCGGUCUGACAAGUCUUCCGUGAAAGCCCACGGCUCAACCGUGGAACUGCGGGGGAAACUGCCAGACUUGAGUCCGGGAGGGGAGAGUGGAAUUCCCAGUGUAGCGGUGAAAUGCGCAGAUAUUGGGAGGAACACCGGAGGCGAAGGCGUCUCUCUGGACCGGUACUGACGCUGAGGCGCGAAAGCCAGGGGAGCGAACGGG
RNAcentral lists this ribosomal RNA (430 nucleotides) under uncultured Acidobacteriota bacterium. RNAcentral's name for it is "bacterial SSU rRNA". It matches the Rfam family "Bacterial small subunit ribosomal RNA", at positions 355 to 776 of the family's 1533-position model. The record is from RNAcentral. Lineage: Bacteria; Pseudomonadati; Acidobacteriota. RNAcentral also lists the same sequence under 1 other name.